CAGUAGCCGCGGUAAUACGGAGGGUGCAAGCGUUAAUCGGAAUUACUGGGCGUAAAGCGCACGCAGGCGGUUUGUUAAGUCAGAUGUGAAAUCCCCGGGCUCAACCUGGGAACUGCAUUUGAAACUGGCAAGCUAGAGUCUCGUAGAGGGGGGUAGAAUUCCAGGUGUAGCGGUGAAAUGCGUAGAGAUCUGGAGGAAUACCGGUGGCGAAGGCGGCCCCCUGGACGAAGACUGACGCUCAGGUGCGAAAGCGUGGGGAGCAAACAGGAUUAGAUACCCGGGUAGUCCCUGUCUCUUAUAC
RNAcentral lists this ribosomal RNA (301 nucleotides) under uncultured bacterium. Its description in RNAcentral is "partial 16S ribosomal RNA". It matches the Rfam family "Bacterial small subunit ribosomal RNA", at positions 509 to 807 of the family's 1533-position model. The record is from RNAcentral.